This 353-nucleotide unclassified non-coding RNA is filed under the name soil metagenome. RNAcentral's name for it is "partial contains 5.8S ribosomal RNA, internal transcribed spacer 2, and large subunit ribosomal RNA". The stretch from base 1 to 121 matches the Rfam family "5.8S ribosomal RNA", at positions 35 to 154 of the family's 154-position model. The record is from RNAcentral.
GAUGAAGAAACGCAGCGAAAUGCGAUAAGUAGUGUGAAUUGCAGAAUUCAGUGAAUCAUCGAAUCUUUGAACGCACAUUGCGCCUUCCGGUAUUCCGGAAGGCAUGCCUGUUCGAGCGUCAUCAAACCUCUCAGAAACAGCUUUAUGUUGUGUCUGGAAUUGAAGUAAGAGAGUCACAAGUUGAUUCUCUGCUUUGAAACUCAAUGGCAAAUUAUGCUCUGCAUUUUUAACGUAGUAACAUUACAAUCGUUAGAAAGCACAGAUGUGUAGCCGAAACCCUCUAUAUUUCUUUAGGUUGACCUCGGAUCAGGUAGGGAUACCCGCUGAACUUAAGCAUAUCAAUAAGCGGAGGA